GAAGAUGUGGCAGCUGCUGUAACCAUGUCCAGUUGAUUUCUGUCCCAGCUGGGCCCUGGCCCGUGGCAGAGCUCUGCCCCCAGGUGACACAGUGACCAAAGGAGGGACACAGCCCCACUGCUGCCUGCUGGGCUCCUGAGCGAGUCACAGUGCCAGGCACCCACUCUAAACAAACUGAAGCUGCAUUAUGAAUCAGGUGGCAACAAAAAUCACAAUUAGCUGCAGGACUGCCCUGAUGGAAGUUCAGUUUUCCAAGGCUCUGGGGAAAUACAAAGCCAAAAUCAGAAGCUCCUCUGGACCUUUCAGAUGCAUUUCCACCUUUGCCUGCAUGGCUCUGGAAAGUGGGAAGAGGCAGGCAGCUCCAUUAGCUCUUGGCUUCUGCAAGGUCCCGUGCUGUCCACAGCCUGAGUCAAAGCCCUUUGUGGGUCAUGGAGGGGCUGCAUGAUCUCACUCCAGGCAUUUGUCUUCCCUGGCCUCCUAUUAAGCCUGUCAGGAGAAUUGGCUCAAUGCAAGAAAAACUGGAGCUCCUUAAAAAUGUAUUGGCACAUCUGGGCUGAACUUCCUCGGGUGAAGCAGUUGUAAAAAACGGCUCUGCUGUGAACUUUGAAGCAUCAAUUUGUUAAAGAAGCAGUGAUUUCCCUCUCUGAACAAUGCUCUCUGUGGUGGGAAGCCUUGGAAGGCACAUGAUGUGUGUUAGAAACAUUUUCAGAGGUACUGAUAUGAAGCACUGGGUGAUGCACAAUGUUUCAAAAACAAACGAAGGCUGCCCAAAUAGCUGCUCCCCAGCAAGCCGAAGUUACAAUUCAGAUCCUGCACUGUAUUUAUCAAUAUUUUCAUUCCCAGCAGCAUUUCCUGACAUUUAUGCCAAAAGAAACUUCUGCGAAAGGUCAGCACAGGACUCAAGUGCUGUUGAGUGUGUGACCUGACAAAAGAGCACUUUCCCUCACACUUGCCUGAUCAUUCUGUGAGCUCACACCCACCAGGUCCUGAGCAUUUCCCCAGGCCCAAAGUGGGUGCAAUCACCCUCUGCAGGGUCUCAGCCCUGUAAACACCUCUAAUCUGCUCCAAAGCAGGCCUGAGCCACGGCUGAGACUUUGUCCUGCCUUCCUUCCUCUGAGCACAGCGAGCCCUGCGUGGUGCUGCACACUGCAGAGGUGGUUUCACCCGACAGCAGACUGUGAGCACACUGAACAACAAUGUGAAAGGAUGUCUGUCAGUUCACUGAUGAACGGAGAACUGAGCUGCUCCAGAUCCCCCCAAACAGCCCAGUGCUGAGCCUGGGUGGCAAGGACAGCCCUUCCUUCCACACCCCCAAAAGGGAGCACAAAUCUGGGGCUGAACUGCAGCUCCACCUUCUCCACCCCUCUCUGCAACACUGCACUUGCACUUCCUUUUCCACGAGUACAUUUCGUUUUAUUUUUCCCACACUGCUUCUCAGACUUUUGGGAAAUUCCAUAAUACCACACCAAAAGCUCCCAAUAGCAGCCAGAAUUGCUUUUAUUGCUGUUUAACACAGUGCUGAAUUUAAAUGGCUAAUGUAUAUGCCUCUCUCACACAUGAGUACAGACUGCUGCACAGCAAAACUUUAUUUUAUCAAAUUAAAAUGCACUGUAACACGAAUUUAUUGUAUCUUUGCUCAUAAGUGGUUUUAUGCAUUUGAAUUUUUUUUAGUCUUUUAGGGUUUUGGCAGUAGAUGGAAAGCAAUCAAAGUCCCAUUUGAAGCAGCCGUGUAAGCAAUUCUCAUUUACAGAAGACAAUGAAAAAUUAAUCUGAAAUGAGUGUAACUAAGUUUUCAUAGAAACAACAAAACCACUCAGACAUUACCAUUUUCAACAGCUGUUUACUGUCUUCAUCUACAAAAUCACCUGUCAAAUUUUACU
Long non-coding RNA from Passer domesticus (house sparrow), 1880 nucleotides. RefSeq lists it as uncharacterized. The transcript is spliced from 3 exons. The record is from RefSeq and is a predicted model, not a curated record. Lineage: Eukaryota; Metazoa; Chordata; Aves; Passeriformes; Passeridae.